GACGAACCGUGCGAACGUUGUUCGGAAUCACUGGGCUUAAAGGGCUCGUAGGCGGCCAACUAAGUCCGACGUGAAAUCCCAAAGCUUAACUUUGGAACUGCGUCGGAUACUGGAUGGCUUGAAUUCGGGAGAGGGAUGCAGAAUUCCAGGUGUAGCGGUGAAAUGCGUAGAUAUCUGGAGGAAUACCGGUGGCGAAGGCGGCAUCCUGGACCGACAUUGACGCUGAGGAGCGAAAGCUAGGGGAGCAAACGGG
This 253-nucleotide ribosomal RNA is filed under the name uncultured bacterium. Its description in RNAcentral is "partial 16S ribosomal RNA". It matches the Rfam family "Bacterial small subunit ribosomal RNA", at positions 524 to 776 of the family's 1533-position model. The record is from RNAcentral.